RNAcentral lists this ribosomal RNA (255 nucleotides) under uncultured bacterium. RNAcentral describes it as "partial 16S ribosomal RNA". It matches the Rfam family "Bacterial small subunit ribosomal RNA", at positions 649 to 902 of the family's 1533-position model. The record is from RNAcentral.
UGGUAGAGGGAGGUGGAAUUCCGGGUGUAUUGGUGAAAUGCGUAGAUAUCCGGAGGAACACCAGUGGCGAAAGCGGCCUCCUGGCCCAUUUCUGACGCUCAUACACGAAAGCUAAGGUAGCAAACGGGAUUAGAGACCCCGGUAGUCUUAGCUGUAAACGAUGUGAACUUAGUGUCGGUGGGUUUAAAUCCAUCGGUUCUGAAGCUAACGCGAUAAGUUCACCGCCUGGGGACCACGGCCGCAAGGUGAAAACAC